This 495-nucleotide ribosomal RNA is filed under the name uncultured bacterium. RNAcentral describes it as "partial 16S ribosomal RNA". It matches the Rfam family "Bacterial small subunit ribosomal RNA", at positions 28 to 507 of the family's 1533-position model. The record is from RNAcentral.
GACGAACGCUGGCGGCGUGCCUAAUACAUGCAAGUAGAACGCUGAAGGAGGAGCUUGCUUCUCUGGAUGAGUUGCGAACGGGUGAGUAACGCGUAGGUAACCUGCCUGGUAGCGGGGGAUAACUAUUGGAAACGAUAGCUAAUACCGCAUAAUAGUAGAUGUUGCAUGACAUUUGCUUAAAAGGUGCAAUUGCAUCACUACCAGAUGGACCUGCGUUGUAUUAGCUAGUUGGUGGGGUAACGGCUCGCCAAGGCGACGAUACAUAGCCGAACUGAGAGGGUGGGCGGCCACGCUGGGAGUGAGACACGGCCCAGACGCCUACGGGAGGCAGCAGUAGGGAAUCUUCGGCAAUGGACGGAAGUCUGACCGAGCAACGCCGCGUGAGGGAAGAAGGUUUUCGGAUCGGAAAGCUCUGUUGUAAGAGAAGAACGAGGGUGAGAGUGGAAAGUUCACACUGUGACGGUAUCUUACCAGAAAGCGACGGCUAACUACGUG